This 497-nucleotide ribosomal RNA is filed under the name uncultured bacterium. RNAcentral's name for it is "partial 16S ribosomal RNA". It matches the Rfam family "Bacterial small subunit ribosomal RNA", at positions 28 to 507 of the family's 1533-position model. The record is from RNAcentral.
GAUGAACGCUGGCGGCGUGCCUAAUACAUGCAAGUCGAGCGAACAGACGAGGAGCUUGCUCCUCUGACGUUAGCGGCGGACGGGGGAGUAACACGUGGAUAACCUACCUAUAAGACUGGGAUAACUUCGGGAAACCGGAGCUAAUACCGGAUAAUAUAUUGAACCGCAUGGUUCAAUAGGGAAAGACGGUUUUGCUGUCACUUAUAGAUGGAUCCGCGCCGCAUUAGCUAGUUGGUAAGGUAACGGCUUACCAAGGCAACGAUGCGUAGCCGACCUGAGAGGGUGAUCGGCCACACUGGAACUGAGACACGGUCCAGACUCCUACGGGAGGCAGCAGUAGGGAAUCUUCCGCAAUGGGCGAAAGCUUGACGGAGCAACGCCGCGUGAGUGAUGAAGGUCUUCGGAUCGUAAAACUCUGUUAUUAGGGAAGAACAAAUGUGUAAGUAACUAUGCACGUCUUGACGGUACCUAAUCAGAAAGCCACGGCUAACUACGUG